Molecule: unclassified non-coding RNA, 417 nt
Filed under: Hevea brasiliensis (rubber tree)
Lineage: Eukaryota; Viridiplantae; Streptophyta; Magnoliopsida; Malpighiales; Euphorbiaceae
Source: RNAcentral
GCAGUUGGGCUGGGCAAUUUUAUUGUGACCCCACAUGAGCAUAUAUUCCGCGUGAAGGAUGGUUGUGAAUUUAUAUGUUAUGGCGGUUAUAUCACUUAUGGUUGUUGAAGGUAAUUGAUUAGCAUUGAUCCUUGAGGUUGUUGAUCGUGCCCUUCAUCUGUUGUGAGCUGAUGAUAUCUGAGUGGAGCCUAGUAUGUAAAAUUAUUAAAUGUGUACUUUUGUAGCUUGCUAUUUUGGGUUUUAUUUAGCCAGAACUAAAAGCAAUUAAGUGACCCCUUCCUGGUUUUAGGGAUUCUUAGCUUUACUGUUUUUACAGUGCAGAUAACAGAUGCAUAACUAGGACCAGGAUAUGCUUUAUUUUCGAAUGAGCCUGACUUUUGGCAGGUGGUUUGAUUCUUAGAAUUUGAGUGCUUGUUG